AGAGUAAAAUAGUACGUGAAAUUGUUGAAAGGGAAACGAUUGAAGUCAGUCGUACCAGCGGGAAAUCAACCUUUUGAGUGGUCUCUUGGAAUUUUAAAGAGUUUCAAAGCCUUUGGGUUUCAAGAUUCUUCCUCUAUUGGUGUACUUUCUCGUAGGUAGGUCAACAUCGAUUUUGAGCAUCAUAAAAAGAUUGGAGGAAUGUAGCUUCGAUCUUGUAUUGAAGUAUUAUAGCCUUUGGUAAAUGUGAUGAUCAAGAUCGAGGAUUGCAACGAAUAUCCUUUUGGGCUAUUCGUCUGAUCUCUGAUACGUUGCCUUGGUAUCGAAAGCGUGCUUAUGAUAUUAAGGUAUUACGGUCAAAAGGUUAGAACGAAUUACAUUCGUUAAGGAUGUUGACGUAAUGGCUUUAAACGACC
RNAcentral lists this ribosomal RNA (413 nucleotides) under Septoglomus viscosum. RNAcentral's name for it is "partial large subunit ribosomal RNA". The record is from RNAcentral. Lineage: Eukaryota; Fungi; Glomeromycota; Glomeromycetes; Glomerales; Glomeraceae.